UCCUACGGGAGGCAGCAGUGGGGAAUAUUGCGCAAUGGGCGAAAGCCUGACGCAGCAACGCCGCGUGGGGGAUGAAGGCCUUCGGGUUGUAAACCCCUUUCAGCAGGGACGAAAAUGACGGUACCUGCAGAAGAAGCCCCGGCCAACUACGUGCCAGCAGCCGCGGUAACACGUAGGGGGCAAGCGUUGUCCGGAUUUAUUGGGCGUAAAGAGCUCGUAGGCGGUUGCGUAAGUCGGAUGUGNAAACUCAGGGCUCAACCCGGAGACGCCAUCCGAUACUGCGCUGACUAGAGUCCGGUAGAGGAGCAUGGAAUUCCUGGUGUAGCGGUGAAAUGCGCAGAUAUCAGGAGGGACACCAGUGGCGAAGGCGGUGCUCUGGGCCGGUACUGACGCUGAGGAGCGAAAGCGUGGGUAGCGAACAGGAUUAGAUACCCUGGUAGUCCACGCCGUAAACGUUGGGCACUAGGUGUGGGGCCUCCUUAACGGGUUCCGUGCCGUAGCUAACGCAUUAAGUGCCCCGCCUGGGGAGUACGGCCGCAAGGCUAACACUCAAAGGAAUUGACGGGGA
Molecule: ribosomal RNA, 568 nt
Filed under: uncultured bacterium
Lineage: Bacteria
Description: bacterial SSU rRNA
Rfam family: Bacterial small subunit ribosomal RNA
Source: RNAcentral